This 121-nucleotide ribosomal RNA is filed under the name Parcubacteria group bacterium GW2011_GWB1_42_6. The record is from RNAcentral.
GUCUUGGUGAUUCGAGCGGCCGGGUAAAACCUCUUCCCAUUUCGAACAGAGAAGUUAAAACGGCCAGCGCCCAUGGUAGUCGGGGCUUAAGCUCCGGCGAGAGUAGGCCGUCGCCAAGACA